GAUGAACGCCGGCGGUGUGCCUAAUACAUGCAAGUCGUACGCACUGGCCCAACUGAUUGAUGGUGCUUGCACCUGAUUGACGAUGGAUCACCAGUGAGUGGCGGACGGGUGAGUAACACGUAGGUAACCUGCCCCGGAGCGGGGGAUAACAUUUGGAAACAGAUGCUAAUACCGCAUAACAACAAAAGCCACAUGGCUUUUGUUUGAAAGAUGGCUUUGGCUAUCACUCUGGGAUGGACCUGCGGUGCAUUAGCUAGUUGGUAAGGUAAUGGCUUACCAAGGCGAUGAUGCAUAGCCGAGUUGAGAGACUGAUCGGCCACAAUGGAACUGAGACACGGUCCAUACUCCUACGGGAGGCAGCAGUAGGGAAUCUUCCACAAUGGGCGCAAGCCUGAUGGAGCAACACCGCGUGAGUGAAGAAGGGUUUCGGCUCGUAAAGCUCUGUUGUUGGAGAAGAACGUGCGUGAGAGUAACUGUUCACGCAGUGACGGUAUCCAACCAGAAAGUCACGGCUAACUACGUGCCAGCAGCCGCGGUAAUACGUAGGUGGCAAGCGUUAUCCGGAUUUAUUGGGCGUAAAGCGAGCGCAGGCGGUUGCUUAGGUCUGAUGUGAAAGCCUUCGGCUUAACCGAAGAAGUGCAUCGGAAACCGGGCGACUUGAGUGCAGAAGAGGACAGUGGAACUCCAUGUGUAGCGGUGGAAUGCGUAGAUAUAUGGAAGAACACCAGUGGCGAAGGCGGCUGUCUGGUCUGCAACUGACGCUGAGGCUCGAAAGCAUGGGUAGCGAACAGGAUUAGAUACCCUGGUAGUCCAUGCCGUAAACGAUGAGUGCUAGGUGUUGGAGGGUUUCCGCCCUUCAGUGCCGGAGCUAACGCAUUAAGCACUCCGCCUGGGGAGUACGACCGCAAGGUUGAAACUCAAAGGAAUUGACGGGGGCCCGCACAAGCGGUGGAGCAUGUGGUUUAAUUCGAAGCUACGCGAAGAACCUUACCAGGUCUUGACAUCUUGCGCUAACCUUAGAGAUAAGGCGUUCCCUUCAGGGACGCAAUGACAGGUGGUGCAUGGUCGUCGUCAGCUCGUGUCGUGAGAUGUUGGGUUAAGUCCCGCAACGAGCGCAACCCUUGUUACUAGUUGCCAGCAUUGAGUUGGGCACUCUAGUGAGACUGCCGGUGACAAACCGGAGGAAGGUGGGGACGACGUCAGAUCAUCAUGCCCCUUAUGACCUGGGCUACACACGUGCUACAAUGGACGGUACAACGAGUCGCAAACUCGCGAGAGUAAGCUAAUCUCUUAAAGCCGUUCUCAGUUCGGACUGUAGGCUGCAACUCGCCUACACGAAGUCGGAAUCGCUAGUAAUCGCGGAUCAGCAUGCCGCGGUGAAUACGUUCCCGGGCCUUGUACACACCGCCCGUCACACCAUGGGAGUUUGUAACGCCCAAAGUCGGUGGCCUAACCUUUAUGGAGGGAGCCGCCUAAGGCGGGACAGAUGACUGGGGUG
This 1498-nucleotide ribosomal RNA is filed under the name Limosilactobacillus reuteri subsp. reuteri JCM 1112 = DSM 20016. Its description in RNAcentral is "Limosilactobacillus reuteri subsp. reuteri JCM 1112 partial 16S ribosomal RNA". It matches the Rfam family "Bacterial small subunit ribosomal RNA". Lineage: Bacteria; Bacillati; Bacillota; Bacilli; Lactobacillales; Lactobacillaceae. The record is from RNAcentral.